This 253-nucleotide ribosomal RNA is filed under the name uncultured bacterium. RNAcentral's name for it is "partial 16S ribosomal RNA". It matches the Rfam family "Bacterial small subunit ribosomal RNA", at positions 524 to 776 of the family's 1533-position model. RNAcentral also lists the same sequence under 1 other name. The record is from RNAcentral.
GACGAACCGAGCGAACGUUGUUCGGAAUCACUGGGCUUAAAGGGCGCGUAGGCGGGUGCUCAAGUCCGGGGUGAAAUCCUCCAGCUCAACUGGAGAACUGCCUUGGAUACUGGGUGUCUCGAGGGUGGUAGGGGUCUGCGGAACUAUCGGUGGAGCGGUGAAAUGCGUUGAUAUCGAUAGGAACUCCGGUGGCGAAGGCGGCAGGCUGGACCACUUCUGACGCUGAGGCGCGAAAGCCAGGGGAGCAAACGGG